AGAGUUUGAUCAUGGCUCAGAUUGAACGCUGGCGGCAGGCCUAACACAUGCAAGUCGAACGGUAACAGGAAACAGCUUGCUGUUUCGCUGACGAGUGGCGGACGGGUGAGUAAUGUCUGGGAAACUGCCUGAUGGAGGGGGAUAACUACUGGAAACGGUAGCUAAUACCGCAUAACGUCGCAAGACCAAAGAGGGGGACCUUCGGGCCUCUUGCCAUCGGAUGUGCCCAGAUGGGAUUAGCUUGUUGGUGGGGUAACGGCUCACCAAGGCGACGAUCCCUAGCUGGUCUGAGAGGAUGACCAGCCACACUGGAACUGAGACACGGUCCAGACUCCUACGGGAGGCAGCAGUGGGGAAUAUUGCACAAUGGGCGCAAGCCUGAUGCAGCCAUGCCGCGUGUAUGAAGAAGGCCUUCGGGUUGUAAAGUACUUUCAGCGGGGAGGAAGGGAGUAAAGUUAAUACCUUUGCUCAUUGACGUUACCCGCAGAAGAAGCACCGGCUAACUCCGUGCCAGCAGCCGCGGUAAUACGGAGGGUGCAAGCGUUAAUCGGAAUUACUGGGCGUAAAGCGCACGCAGGCGGUUUGUUAAGUCAGAUGUGAAAUCCCCGGGCUCAACCUGGGAACUGCAUCUGAUACUGGCAAGCUUGAGUCUCGUAGAGGGGGGUAGAAUUCCAGGUGUAGCGGUGAAAUGCGUAGAGAUCUGGAGGAAUACCGGUGGCGAAGGCGGCCCCCUGGACGAAGACUGACGCUCAGGUGCGAAAGCGUGGGGAGCAAACAGGAUUAGAUACCCUGGUAGUCCACGCCGUAAACGAUGUCGACUUGGAGGUUGUGCCCUUGAGGCGUGGCUUCCGGAGCUAACGCGUUAAGUCGACCGCCUGGGGAGUACGGCCGCAAGGUUAAAACUCAAAUGAAUUGACGGGGGCCCGCACAAGCGGUGGAGCAUGUGGUUUAAUUCGAUGCAACGCGAAGAACCUUACCUGGUCUUGACAUCCACGGAAGUUUCCAGAGAUGGGUUGGUGCCUUCGGGAACUGUGAGACAGGUGCUGCAUGGCUGUCGUCAGCUCGUGUUGUGAAAUGUUGGGUUAAGUCCCGCAACGAGCGCAACCCUUAUCCUUUGUUGCCAGCGGUCCGGCCGGGAACUCAAAGGAGACUGCCAGUGAUAAACUGGAGGAAGGUGGGGAUGACGUCAAGUCAUCAUGGCCCUUACGACCAGGGCUACACACGUGCUACAAUGGCGCAUACAAAGAGAAGCGACCUCGCGAGAGCAAGCGGACCUCAUAAAGUGCGUCGUAGUCCGGAUUGGAGUCUGCAACUCGACUCCAUGAAGUCGGAAUCGCUAGUAAUCGUGGAUCAGAAUGCCACGGUGAAUACGUUCCCGGGCCUUGUACACACCGCCCGUCACACCAUGGGAGUGGGUUGCAAAAGAAGUAGGUAGCUUAACCUUCGGGAGGGCGCUUACCACUUUGUGAUUCAUGACUGGGGUGAAGUCGUAACAAGGUAACCGUAGGGGAACCUGCGGUUGGAUCACCU
This 1530-nucleotide ribosomal RNA is filed under the name Escherichia coli HVH 112 (4-5987253). RNAcentral's name for it is "bacterial SSU rRNA". It matches the Rfam family "Bacterial small subunit ribosomal RNA". The record is from RNAcentral. Lineage: Bacteria; Pseudomonadati; Pseudomonadota; Gammaproteobacteria; Enterobacterales; Enterobacteriaceae.